AAUUUCCAAGUCCUCUUCAUCUUUA
This 25-nucleotide small RNA is filed under the name Arabidopsis thaliana (thale cress). RNAcentral describes it as "ATSL010700". The record is from RNAcentral. Lineage: Eukaryota; Viridiplantae; Streptophyta; Magnoliopsida; Brassicales; Brassicaceae.